RNAcentral lists this ribosomal RNA (770 nucleotides) under uncultured Acinetobacter sp. RNAcentral's name for it is "bacterial SSU rRNA". It matches the Rfam family "Bacterial small subunit ribosomal RNA", at positions 158 to 921 of the family's 1533-position model. Lineage: Bacteria; Pseudomonadati; Pseudomonadota; Gammaproteobacteria; Moraxellales; Moraxellaceae. The record is from RNAcentral.
GAAUGCUAAUACCGCAUACGUCCUACGGGAGAAAGCAGGGGAUCUUCGGACCUUGCGCUAAUAGAUGAGCCUAAGUCGGAUUAGCUAGUUGGUGGGGUAAAGGCCUACCAAGGCGACGAUCUGUAGCGGGUCUGAGAGGAUGAUCCGCCACACUGGGACUGAGACACGGCCCAGACUCCUACGGGAGGCAGCAGUGGGGAAUAUUGGACAAUGGGCGCAAGCCUGAUCCAGCCAUGCCGCGUGUGUGAAGAAGGCCUUAUGGUUGUAAAGCACUUUAAGCGAGGAGGAGGCUACUUUAGUUAAUACCUAGAGAUAGUGGACGUUACUCGCAGAAUAAGCACCGGCUAACUCUGUGCCAGCAGCCGCGGUAAUACAGAGGGUGCAAGCGUUAAUCGGAUUUACUGGGCGUAAAGCGCGCGUAGGCGGCUAAUUAAGUCAAAUGUGAAAUCCCCGAGCUUAACUUGGGAAUUGCAUUCGAUACUGGUUAGCUAGAGUGUGGGAGAGGAUGGUAGAAUUCCAGGUGUAGCGGUGAAAUGCGUAGAGAUCUGGAGGAAUACCGAUGGCGAAGGCAGCCAUCUGGCCUAACACUGACGCUGAGGUGCGAAAGCAUGGGGAGCAAACAGGAUUAGAUACCCUGGUAGUCCAUGCCGUAAACGAUGUCUACUAGCCGUUGGGGCCUUUGAGGCUUUAGUGGCGCAGCUAACGCGAUAAGUAGACCGCCUGGGGAGUACGGUCGCAAGACUAAAACUCAAAUGAAAUUGACGGGGGCC